AGAGUUUGAUCAUGGCUCAGAUUGAACGCUGGCGGCAGGCUUAACACAUGCAAGUCGAACGGUAACGGGUUGAAAGCUUGCUUUCAAUGCUGACGAGUGGCGGACGGGUGAGUAAGGCUUGGGGAUCUGGCUUUUGGAGGGGGAUAACCAUUGGAAACGAUGGCUAAUACCGCAUAGUAUCGAGAGAUGAAAGGGGUGGGAAACCACUUGCCAAGGGAUGAACCCAAGUGAGAUUAGGUAGUUGGUGGGGUAAAGGCCUACCAAGCCGACGAUCUCUAGCUGGUCUGAGAGGAUGGCCAGCCACACUGGGACUGAGACACGGCCCAGACUCCUACGGGAGGCAGCAGUGGGGAAUAUUGCGCAAUGGGGGGAACCCUGACGCAGCCAUGCCGCGUGAAUGAAGAAGGCCUUCGGGUUGUAAAGUUCUUUCGGUGGUGAGGAAGGUUAGGAUGUUAAUAGCAUACUGAUUUGACGUUAGCCACAGAAGAAGCACCGG
Molecule: ribosomal RNA, 496 nt
Filed under: uncultured bacterium
Lineage: Bacteria
Description: bacterial SSU rRNA
Rfam family: Bacterial small subunit ribosomal RNA
Source: RNAcentral